RNAcentral lists this ribosomal RNA (161 nucleotides) under uncultured bacterium. RNAcentral describes it as "partial 16S ribosomal RNA". It matches the Rfam family "Bacterial small subunit ribosomal RNA", at positions 355 to 509 of the family's 1533-position model. The record is from RNAcentral.
UAGGGAAUCUUCCACAUGGACGAAAGUCUGAUGGAGCAACGCCGCGUGAGUGAAGAAGGGUUUCGGCUCGUAAAGCUCUGUUGGUAGUGAAGAAAGAUAGAGGUAGUAACUGGCCUUUAUUUGACGGUAAUUACUUAGAAAGUCACGGCUAACUACGUGCC